UACUGACCGUGUUGGGAGUUGCUUUUUAUUCUUGCCAUGGUUUAUAUUGCAGCAAAAUUACAGAAAGGAUUCCCUUUGCCUAACCUGGACCAGAUUACCCUUGUUAAUUCCGACAUUGAAGUUCAUCAGGGGUUCCUCUUGGUUUCCACUGAUGUUCACUACAAUCCUUCCCUAAGAAAGCAGUACACCAGAGUGGCCAGAAAGGAGAGGGCCCUUCGGCUGGAUUUGGAAGACUGACCUGAACCUCCUUAUCGACGGAGCAUCCAGGAAAAAAAUUGAGACGAGUCCCUCGGAGAGAGACAGGAAAGAGCCCGGGGAACGUUGGCAUUCAAGGAACCCCUCAAGGGGUAGGGUCAAAGUCUAAUUCCCACCCGUACACUCUUUCCUAGCCCAUAGAAUAGUGGUCUGCAUACAGUAAGCGCUUAAUAAAUACUCUCAAUCAAUCAAUUGUAUUUAUUGAGCGCUUACCGUGUGCUCUGUUUGCCAAACACACAGUACUAAGCCCUUGGGAGAGUACGAUAUCACAAGAAUUGGUAGAUACGUUCCCUCCCCACGAUGAGCUUACGGUCUAUUAUUACUACAGUGAUGAGCUUUUUAAACCCAGGCAGAUUUUCAAAUUGGUUUUCCUUUCUAGAGCCUCAGAACUCCAGAAAGAAGAAUAGGUUACAGUGGUGUGGGUGUUGUGCGUGCGCAUCCGUGCGUGUGUGAACAUGAAUGUCCUGUUCAUGUCCAUGAGAAUGGUUGCCGGGAUGGAACAGCAGGCCUGGCAAUUCCUCGCAUUAGUAAGAGGCUGUUAAAAUUUUGACCUUCCUCCUGUCGGACUCUGUUGUGUUUUGUACCCGCCAUUACAUUUUCUGCUCACUGUGCCCGCCCUUUAAUUAAAAUAUUUUCUACGUACUUCAGCUCAGGCUCCACUUCAUUCAAGAAAGAAGUCAGUGAGCAGCUGAAUUUUAAGUCUGACGGUUGGCAGCAGACCUUAAAAAGUCCACGUGGCUUUGGACUUUAGGUUCAAUUUAGACUUGGGGUUGAGUACGUUUAGGCAUUGCCUGCCGUGCUUCUUUCAGCUUUCCUCUGACAUUGUAUAAUGACAACAAAAGAAAUUAGUCCUGUUACUUCAAACAAUUUUGUGCCUGUGAUUUUUAUUAAGUUAAAUAGCCAGAGAUUCAAUUCAAUGACAGAGCAGGGCAACAGACCUCAAAGAUGAUUCGUGCCUAAGGGAGGAAUUUUUGUUAUGUCCUUACAAAGCUGAAAAAAGUAAUAUUAUUAAAGAGCUUCAGCGUUCCUUCGUCUGAAGUGAUGUUUUUCUUGUCUGGGAAGAUCACGGAGUUCACAUCUACAGAUUCACUUGGAAAGGUUAUGCUUUUUGAUAUAGUCCAUUAAACCGAUGUUAUAUUUUUAUAGUGUCAGAGU
This 1410-nucleotide long non-coding RNA is filed under the name Ornithorhynchus anatinus (platypus). Its description in RNAcentral is "lncRNA (ENSOANG00000043028.1)". Lineage: Eukaryota; Metazoa; Chordata; Mammalia; Monotremata; Ornithorhynchidae. The record is from RNAcentral.